GUGAGUCAUCGAAUCUUUGAACGCAUAUUGCGCCCCUUGGUAUUCCGGGGGGCACACCUGUUCGAGCGCCAUUUCAACCCUCAAGCAUAGCUUGGUGUUGGGUAUAGUCCCUGGGGGACUUGCCCGUAACUUGUAGGCGGCUACCACCCGCACCCCCAGCGUAGCAAGCUCACGCGUUCGCUCGGGGUCGGCGCGUUUGGCCCGCCAGAUAAUAUCUUUUUCAAGGUUUGGCCUCGGAUCAGGUGGGGAUACCCGCUGAACUUAAGCAUAUCAAUAAGCGGAGGA
RNAcentral lists this unclassified non-coding RNA (285 nucleotides) under Pezizomycetes sp. RNAcentral's name for it is "partial contains 5.8S ribosomal RNA, internal transcribed spacer 2, and large subunit ribosomal RNA". The stretch from base 1 to 71 matches the Rfam family "5.8S ribosomal RNA", at positions 84 to 154 of the family's 154-position model. The record is from RNAcentral. Lineage: Eukaryota; Fungi; Ascomycota; Pezizomycetes.